AAGACUAUACUUUCAGGGAUCAUUUCUAUAGUUCCUUACUAGAGAAGUUUCUCUGACUGUGUAGAGCACUGGAAACCACGAGGAGGAGGCACAGCGUUCUCUCCUGAGCGUGAAGCUGGCGCGGGCAUCGCGCGUUGUGACUGCCCGCUGCCAUUGAUGAUCGUUCCCCUCUCCCUGGAGAGGUGGAGGGAGAGAGCGCAGUCUGAGUGGCU
Molecule: small nucleolar RNA, 212 nt
Organism: Jaculus jaculus (lesser Egyptian jerboa)
Lineage: Eukaryota; Metazoa; Chordata; Mammalia; Rodentia; Dipodidae
Source: Ensembl